GGUCUUGUAGCUUAGUUGGUUAGAGCGUUGGUCUUAUGAGUUGAAGGUUGCGGGUUCGAGCCUCGCUAAGACCA
This is a transfer RNA of Ipomoea nil (Japanese morning glory), 74 nucleotides long. It matches the Rfam family "tRNA". Rfam says of the family: Transfer RNA (tRNA) molecules are approximately 80 nucleotides in length. Their secondary structure includes four short double-helical elements and three loops (D, anti-codon, and T loops). NCBI's taxonomy places the organism in Eukaryota, Viridiplantae, Streptophyta, Magnoliopsida, Solanales, Convolvulaceae. The record is from Rfam.